CAGUCGCCGCGGGAAUACGGAGGGUGCGAGCGUUAAUCGGAAUUACUGGGCGUAAAGCGUGCGCAGGCGGUUAUAUAAGACAGAUGUGAAAUCCCCGGGCUCAACCUGGGACCUGCAUUUGUGACUGUAUAGCUAGAGUACGGUAGAGGGGGAUGGAAUUCCGCGUGUAGCAGUGAAAUGCGUAGAUAUGCGGAGGAACACCGAUGGCGAAGGCAAUCCCCUGGACCUGUACUGACGCUCAUGCACGAAAGCGUGGGGAGCAAACAGGAUUAGAUACCCCCGUAGUCCCUGUCUCUUAUAA
RNAcentral lists this ribosomal RNA (301 nucleotides) under uncultured bacterium. Its description in RNAcentral is "partial 16S ribosomal RNA". It matches the Rfam family "Bacterial small subunit ribosomal RNA", at positions 509 to 809 of the family's 1533-position model. The record is from RNAcentral.